CUUUGUGUCAGUACGUCAUCGAUAGAACAAGGCAUCAGUUUUAUGUCGGGUUUUGUCUUGUCGCAUCGCAUUCAGUGUACACAGCGUCACUGAAUAUAGUGGUUUCUACUGUAUUUUGCCGCUCGCGU
This is a long non-coding RNA of Sinocyclocheilus grahami, 128 nucleotides long. RefSeq lists it as uncharacterized. The record is from RefSeq and is a predicted model, not a curated record. NCBI's taxonomy places the organism in Eukaryota, Metazoa, Chordata, Actinopteri, Cypriniformes, Cyprinidae. The transcript has 2 exons.